CCCUUAGAUGUUCUGGGCCGCACGCGCGCUACACUGAUGCAUUCAACGAGUUUUUCCUGGUCCGAGAGGAAUGGGUAACCUUUUGAAAGUGCAUCGUGCUAGGGAUAGACUAUUGCAAUUAUUGGUCUUCAACGAGGAAUUCCUAGUAAACGCAAGUCAUCAGCUUGUGUUGAUUACGUCCCUGCCCUUUGUACACACCGCCCGUCGCUCCUACCGAUUGAAUGUUCCGGUGAGCUCUUCGGACUGCGCGGUCUGCAGUUUCUGCGUUCCGUGCGGAAAGUUGCGCAAACCUUAACAUUUAGAGGAAGGAGAAGUCGUAACA
RNAcentral lists this ribosomal RNA (322 nucleotides) under uncultured eukaryote. RNAcentral's name for it is "partial 18S ribosomal RNA". It matches the Rfam family "Eukaryotic small subunit ribosomal RNA", at positions 1470 to 1796 of the family's 1831-position model. The record is from RNAcentral.